This 255-nucleotide ribosomal RNA is filed under the name uncultured bacterium. RNAcentral describes it as "partial 16S ribosomal RNA". It matches the Rfam family "Bacterial small subunit ribosomal RNA", at positions 524 to 776 of the family's 1533-position model. The record is from RNAcentral.
UACGGGGGGAGCAAGCGUUGUUCGGAUUUACUGGGCGUAAAGGGCGCGUAGGCGGUCAGCACAAGUCAGUUGUGAAAUCUCCGGGCUUAACUCGGAAAGGUCGACUGAUACUGUGCGACUAGAGUGCAGAAGGGGCAACUGGAAUUCUCGGUGUAGCGGAUGAAAUGCGUAGAUAUCGAGAGGAACACCUGCGGCGAAGGCGGGUUGCUGGGCUGACACUGACGCUGAUGCGCGAAAGCCAGGGGAGCGAACGGG